This 381-nucleotide ribosomal RNA is filed under the name Triticum aestivum (bread wheat). Its description in RNAcentral is "partial small subunit ribosomal RNA". The record is from RNAcentral. Lineage: Eukaryota; Viridiplantae; Streptophyta; Magnoliopsida; Poales; Poaceae.
AUGAUGUUUAUCAGAGUUCCUUCAGUGCAAGUAAACGUACAAAGCAGAAUUUAUUUUAUCAUUUCAGGAAAAGUAAUUUUUGCAAUUCUAGGGACGCAUGUAUUUGCAAUGAAAGAAUAUUACAGUUUGCAGUUAUCCUUCAGUAUAAGUAAUCCGCCCAGCAAAUCUAGACCAUGUUGUGUCUUCUCACAAAUCCCCAAAAGGGCCAGAGACUCAAACAUUCUAAUACACAAAAAAGAGCAAACUGGGAGACACCAGAGAUGUAACAUGUCUCUCGGCGUGCAAUCCCUGGUUACAGAAACCCAAACUGUACACUUUUUGCCAACAGUAGCACUAUGUACUCGCUCAUUUUCUGAUUGGAACCUUCUGAUCCAAGAAUAG